UUAAUCCAGAGCCACGUGGGACUUGCCAGCCCAAACAGACCCUGGGGCUGUGAGACUUUGAAACCUUAUGGGGUGAGAAAGGACUGAGGUCUGGGGAAGAGUUUGAAUCAAACAGUACUGGCUGAGUCCACUGGAACCUUUUGAGCAGAAGGGGAUGCUGUGAUGGGCUGCCCUGGAGCUCUGCCAGCUACUCCAGGGGAGGGACCUGCUCUGUGAAGACUUUCCUCCUUCUUUCUGUCAGAGGCAUCUUGAUAGGGAAGCUGAAGCAUGGGGGAAUAGCUUUUCUUUGUGGAACAACCCUGCUGUGUGCUUCUUUGUCCCUAUCCUUGCCUCUCCAUAGAAGACAGGCUGUGUGUGGACCACGUGCGUCUGUCGGACCACGGGAACUCUCCUGCUGUUUUAACUGUAUCCCUGUUCAAGAGUUUGCUUAAAAUUAACAUGAGGUAUAAAUUCUGGAACCAUAAUUCACAGAAGUGGAUUGAAAAGUAGUGUUUGUUCAUCUUCUUCACUGUGGAAGGAUUGAAAGGCCAGAGCCCUGGUGAGCAGUGGGGAAGAAAAGUGGUCCAGAAAGGUAAAUGCCUGCCAGGUGAUCCCUGUACCUCGUGGGAACACCCAGUAAUCCAUGCUUUCCUGAGGGACAGUAGGAAGGGGAAGGUGGGAGUCUGUCAGUGGAACAGCUGGGUGAAAAGUUUUCUUUUCAGACCCCACUGAAACCAUGUACACAGAGAAGAAUAAACAUAGUGGAAUAAAUAUACACAUAGAAGAAUAAACAAGCCCAGGUGGGAAAGUUACUCUGAAGGAAGACAAUUUACGAAGUGGACACCCUUAGCCAUUCCUUAGGUAGUUUGAUUCUGGCACAGAGGAAGGUAUUUACCAUGUACAAGGACUGAGUCCUCAUGGGAAUUUAGAUGCACUUAGAAGAACACCAGUUCUGUUGUUUGAAUACAUACUUAUAGAUAGACAAUUCAAUGUCUGCCAAAAAUAUUUGUCUUUUGACAGGUUCAUAGUAUUUUAUGAUCAAACUAAAGCAAACAAUACUGAAGAGUGGGGGAAGAGGAUCUUUUUGUUGUUGCUUAUUCCUCAUCUCAAUAAGGGUCUUGCUAAGGGUCCUACUUAUUUUGUUUUUAUACACAUACACAUAUAUGUAUGUUGUUUUAUACAAUUUUAAACUAAAAUAUUUGUAAAUCCUGGUCAGUAAGUAGAAAUAACAAAAGCUGUUAGAAAUGUUGCCAUUUCAGUGGAGCUUCUGUAAACAUUUCACCACUGGCAAGCACUUGCUGAUCCGUACUUUAAGAUAAUUUCAUUAUUUUUGUUUGUUUGAUUUUAACCUUUGGUUUGUUUUUAACCUUUCCUAGAGUAUUUUUAGUAAUUUUAAUUACUGUUCCUAGACUAAAAUCAGCUUCUGUCCCCAUUUUCCUUAAACAAAUUGUCUUUUCCAAAAGAGCAUCAUAAAAUAGAUGAAAACAGGUUCCAGUGCCUAAAGACUUAAGGAGAGGUAAAGGAUUUGGCAAGGAGAUUGCUAUAAAACUGCUUAUCAAUUUGUACUUUCUGAUUACUCUCCCAACUCUCCCUUCAUUUUCUAUGAGAUGCUCUGUGAGCCAAUGCCCCAACUUUCUUCAGGUGAAACAGAGUGCAGAAUUCUCCUGGUUUGACUUCUAUAGACUCUAUUUAUUGUCUGAUUUCUUAUUAUAAAGUGGAAGAUAAAGAAAAACUGGUGCUUCCUGUUGUCUGCUGUUGAUUUCAGAUUGUGUAACCUAACCGAGAAAUGGCAGUGCUGCAUGAUUUGGAAACUUACAAGAAAAAAAUUCAAACCUUUAGUGUGUCUGAUGGACUAAGAUGAGAGCAUUUAUUAUAUGUACUCUCUUCUUGGGCAUUGCAGUUUGUGGCUAAGAGUCCCUGAAAAAUCUUCAGCAGAAACAUGGAUGAAGUGCUCCUGGUGCAGUCUUUUACUCUCCUGUGUAGCUUUUUAUGAUAAAACAACUGUUUUAAGGAUGACCAUAGGAAAAUGUCUUGUUGCAAGUGCAAGCACCAAUUCCCUGCAUGGAGGAGAAGGACUUCUGCAGCCAAUUGCUGAUGGUUAAUAAGAGCUGGGUGCUGUCAACAUCAGUUUGUUACAUUGCUUUCAAGUGUGGGAGCGUACCUAUGAGUCUGUAUUCCUGUGCAGUCUUUUGGAGAUUACUUGCUGGCAUCCUGAGGACCACUAAUGGACAGUGAUAGAACAGGUGCCUUCAUGAGGAGCUGGAAGUAUUGUCUUAUAGGGGGGUGGCUGCAUUUGGAUCCCAUGAUUUAUCAGUUGGAAGUACACAGGAAACAAGUAAGUGAUGGGUAUGUUACAACUAUUUUAAAAUUGCUUUUUUGCAUUUUUUUUUUCUUUUCUGUUGGCCUGGCUUUUUUGGAAGCAUAUGAAUGCUCUCAAGGUGGGAGGUCUUCACAGUUUGGACUCUUUUUUAUUUAUCAAAGUUUUUAUCAUUAUGUGAUCAACUAAAUCUGAGAUGUGGAACCAGUUAUAAAACAUAAAGAGACUUGGGUAGUCUGUAAGUGUUUUUUCAGCCAUUGCCAGGAAGGUUAAAUAGGAGCAGAUGGUGGUGGGGGGUAGUCAGGAGGAACAGUAGGUUGUUCCCAAAAGAAUGAGGCAUGGAGAUUGACUUUAUGGAUGUAAUGAAGAAGUCACAGCAGGAUUUCUGGGGGUUGUAGCAUAAAUAAUAAUCUCUUGGGCAUUACACAUACCACAUAUUUAAUAGCCUUUGGAGGAAUUGCCUAUUUUGUUGGCCAGUUGUGAACUACUUAUAUUGAAAGACAUUAUUCCUCCUGAAGGAGACUUUCUGUGUCUAAUCAGAUUAUGGCACAAAGAUCUUUAGUCCUUUCCAGCAUUUGGGAAAAAAUACUAUUUCCCACUACAUUUCUAUACUUAAUUCUUGAGCCUGCCUUAGAUCUGUGGCCUGUUAUUUCCUAUAUAUAGCCUAUUUAUAAUCCCAGUUAGAGCUAUUACAGCUGCUUCAAUGCCAAAGGAAAAAAAUCAAACACAAGAUUAUUAAAUCUAAUUUUCUUCCCUUCAUGUAAAACAAAAAUACAAUGUUAUUCAAGCUAAGGCAAAAAUGUGGGAGAAGUUGAAACAAUUUAGGCUGGCUCAUCUGUUUCUAAUUUAACCAAUAACCUUCCAAAAUUCCUCAGAACUGUAUGUUUUACCUUUUUCAAUGGGGAAAACAUCAAUGGUUUGGAAGUUUGGCAUACACUUGAAAUGUUUAAAAGGAUAAAAAGGUGACCCAGAGUGUUUCUGGACUGUUUGCUCAGUGUCAGUGUCAGUUCUGGUAAGAAUUCCAGGGCAGGCAGCUCCAGACCAAGGGAGCGCUGCAUCAAAGCAUUACAGGCUAAAGAUGGAGUUGAUGCAGUCAGGGGAUUUUGUGGAGCAUAGGUAUUGGGGGUUGGGUGUCCUUCCUUUUGUUCCGUCUCACCUAUGGAAUUUUUUGCACAUUAGUUGCGGAAAAACCUGAUUGAUGGUACUUGGUAAGUGCUUGAGAAACACAGGGAGUUUAGCUGGGCAGGAGCAGCUGGAGACUGGCUGAUUUCUUAAGCUGGAGAGGAAGACUCAGAGCUGUUGCGGCUUGGAGAAUUCACCAUCACCCAGAUGGAGCUGCUGCUGCUUCUUCUUCUUCCCUCUUCGUUGGUGCGUCUCGCACCCCCUGUCCUGC
This is a long non-coding RNA of Parus major (Great Tit), 3689 nucleotides long. RefSeq lists it as uncharacterized. NCBI's taxonomy places the organism in Eukaryota, Metazoa, Chordata, Aves, Passeriformes, Paridae. The record is from RefSeq and is a predicted model, not a curated record. The transcript has 8 exons.